CAAAGGAUGCGGAGUUAUCUCCAACUCUUUUUGGUACGAUGGCACAUAAUACACUAUUCUCACAGAUAAAUAGCUCAAGCGCACCAUCAUGAUCGAGGUUCUACACCACGAUCGAUACAGCUUGUGCUAUCAACACCAGAUAGAGAAAACUAAAGAGCAAUUUCUGACAGGCGCAAGCACUAGUUAUUCUACAACCUGAAGUUUACAAGCAAAAGGAAUUUAAACGUGUCUGACCAGAUCAUUUCAGAAAGAAAAAAACAUCACGUAACACACUAUUAUCACAGAAAAACAUCUUAACUGCACCACCAUGAACGAUGUUCCACUUCCUCCGUUCCUAAAUAUUUGUCUUUUUAGAGUUUCAAAUGGACUACCACAUAUGGAGGUAUAUAGACAUAUUUUGGUGUAGAUUCACUCAUUUUGCUCCGUAUGUAGUCACUUGUUGAAAUCUCUAGAAAGACAAAUAUUUAGGAACGGAGGGAGUACAAUACAAUCAAUACUGAUUGUGCUAUCAACACCAAGUAGAGAAAAUAUAGAGCAAUUUCUCACAGGUGCAAGCACUAGUUAUUCUAUAAUCGGACUUUACGAGCAAAAGGAAUUUUAAAUGUAUCAUGUUACUACAGUUUGUUGUGUUCAAUACAUGAUACCUGGAAUAACCAUUUCUGAAUGCCACCGUGAUUUACUUCGGAAAUUGCAAUUGACAAGUUGAACAGCACCCCAACAAUCAUUGCCGCCAGCAACAAGCAAUUUUUCUGAUCCCACAUCUCCUGUCAAGACAUUUUGUGCAUUUCUCCGCCCUGUGGGCAUGUCAUCGAUCAUGCCAGAAGCAGUAAUUGUGCAAAGUUGAGUCAACCAGAUAAUACCAGUGAAGGUGGCCCUCCUGCUUAAUUCAUGAAUUA
RNAcentral lists this long non-coding RNA (896 nucleotides) under Triticum aestivum (bread wheat). RNAcentral's name for it is "long non-coding RNA (TAES_LNC015744)". Lineage: Eukaryota; Viridiplantae; Streptophyta; Magnoliopsida; Poales; Poaceae. The record is from RNAcentral.